Molecule: ribosomal RNA, 254 nt
Filed under: uncultured bacterium
Lineage: Bacteria
Description: partial 16S ribosomal RNA
Rfam family: Bacterial small subunit ribosomal RNA
Source: RNAcentral
UACGUAGGGUGCGAGCGUUGUCCGGAAUUAUUGGGCGUAAAGAGCUCGUAGGCGGUGUGUCACGUCGGCCGUGAAAACCUGCAGCUUAACUGUGGGCGUGCGGUCGAUACGGGCAUCACUGGAGUUCGGCAGGGGAGACUGGAAUUCCCGGUGUAGCGGUGAAAUGCGCAGAUAUCGGGAGGAACACCGGUGGCGAAGGCGGUUCUCUGGGCCUUACCUGACGCUGAGGAGCGAAAGCGUGGGGAGCGAACAGG